Molecule: ribosomal RNA, 465 nt
Filed under: Vreelandella stevensii
Lineage: Bacteria; Pseudomonadati; Pseudomonadota; Gammaproteobacteria; Oceanospirillales; Halomonadaceae
Description: partial 16S ribosomal RNA
Rfam family: Bacterial small subunit ribosomal RNA
Source: RNAcentral
CCUACGGGAGGCAGCAGUGGGGAAUAUUGGACAAUGGGCGAAAGCCUGAUCCAGCCAUGCCGCGUGUGUGAAGAAGGCCUUCGGGUUGUAAAGCACUUUCAGUGGGGAAGAAAGCCUUGGGGCUAAUACCCUCGAGGAAGGACAUCACCCACAGAAGAAGCACCGGCUAACUCCGUGCCAGCAGCCGCGGUAAUACGGAGGGUGCGAGCGUUAAUCGGAAUUACUGGGCGUAAAGCGCGCGUAGGCGGUCUGAUAAGCCGGUUGUGAAAGCCCCGGGCUCAACCUGGGAACGGCAUCCGGAACUGUCAGGCUAGAGUGCAGGAGAGGAAGGUAGAAUUCCCGGUGUAGCAGUGAAAUGCGUAGAGAUCGGGAGGAAUACCAGUGGCGAAGGCGGCCUUCUGGACUGACACUGACGCUGAGGUGCGAAAGCGUGGGUAGCAAACAGGAUUAGAUACCCCGGUAGUC